AGUGAACGCUGGCGGCAGGCCUAACACAUGCAAGUCGAACGGCAGCACAAGAGAGCUUGCUCUCUGGGUGGCGAGUGGCGGACGGGUGAGGAAUGCAUCGGAAUCUGCCCAUUUGUGGGGGAUAACCUCGGGAAACCGGGACUAAUACCGCAUACGACCUACGGGUGAAAGCAGGGGAUCUUCGGACCUUGCGCAGAUGGAUGAGCCGAUGCCGGAUUAGCUAGUUGGAGGGGUAAAGGCCCACCAAGGCGACGAUCCGUAGCUGGUCUGAGAGGAUGAUCAGCCACACUGGGACUGAGACACGGACCAGACUCCUACGGGAGGCAGCAGUGGGGAAUAUUGGACAAUGGGCGCAAGCCUGAUCCAGCCAUGCCGCGUGUGUGAAGAAGGCCUUCGGGUUGUAAAGCACUUUUGUUGGGAAAGAAAAGCAGCCGGUUAAUACCCGGUUGUCAUGACGGUACCCAAAGAAUAAGCACCGGCUAACUUCGUG
RNAcentral lists this ribosomal RNA (490 nucleotides) under uncultured bacterium. RNAcentral's name for it is "partial 16S ribosomal RNA". It matches the Rfam family "Bacterial small subunit ribosomal RNA", at positions 29 to 507 of the family's 1533-position model. The record is from RNAcentral.